AGAGUUUGAUCCUGGCUCAGAACGAACGCUGGCGGCGUGCCUAACACAUGCAAGUCGAACGAGAAAGUCCCCGCAAGGGGAUAAGUAAAGUGGCGAACGGGUGAGUAACGCGUAGGUAAUCUGUCCCUCAGCUCGGGAUAACCCCGCGAAAGUGGGGCUAAUACCGGAUGAUAUCCUGAAAGCGCAUGCUUGUGGGAUCAAAGAUGGCCUCUGAUUCAAGCUGUCACUGAAGGAUGAGCCUGCGUCUGAUUAGCUUGUUGGUGAGGUAAAGGCCCACCAAGGCGAUGAUCAGUAGCCGACCUGAGAGGGUGAUCGGCCACACUGGAACUGAGACACGGUCCAGACUCCUACGGGAGGCAGCAGUGGGGAAUAUUGCGCAAUGGGCGAAAGCUUGACGCAGCAACGCCGCGUGGGUGAGGAAGGCCUUCGGGUUGUAGAGCCCUGUCAGGUGGAACGAAUCUGAUCCCGAGCGAAUACCUCGGGAAAAUGACGGUACCACCAGAGGAAGCCCCGGCAAACUACGUGCCAGCAGCCGCGGUAAUACGUAGGGGGCGAGCGUUGUUCGGAAUUACUGGGCGUAAAGAGCGCGUAGGCGGUCAAAUAAGUCAGGCGUGAAAUCCCUCGGCUUAACUGAGGUUUGGCGCUUGAAACUAUCUGACUUGAGUUUAGGAGAGGAGGGUGGAAUUCCCAGUGUAGCGGUGAAAUGCGUAGAUAUUGGGAGGAACACCUGUGGCGAAGGCGGCCCUCUGGACUAAUACUGACGCUGAGGCGCGAAAGCUAGGGGAGCAAACGGGAUUAGA
RNAcentral lists this ribosomal RNA (800 nucleotides) under uncultured bacterium. RNAcentral describes it as "bacterial SSU rRNA". It matches the Rfam family "Bacterial small subunit ribosomal RNA", at positions 8 to 782 of the family's 1533-position model. The record is from RNAcentral.